ACGUUUGAAAUAUUGUGUAUUGCUUAAAAGACUAUAUAAAUUGUUUAUGGUACAAUACAAAAUACAAAAAAAUUGCUAAUACGUCCCGUGGCCCAUGGUGGGUAUUACGAUCUAGCAUUAAAAGAUUUCUAGAAUUCAUUUGAUCAAUGUCUUCUUCUUCAUCAUCUUUGACCGCAAACACACUUACAAAUUUAUUGGUUUCGCUUCACAUGAGGAGAGUGGAGUUGGAUUUAACAGCAUUGAGAAGUAGUUAUUUAUAAAUUACAAACAAAAACUGCUAGACAUACUACAUACAGAUUCGUAGAUAGGAGGUACGACAUUCAUAUAUAAAUAUAUAUAUCUAUAUAUAGGUAAAGGUUAAACUGCUGCAGAAUUUAUGCAACACUUCUACUUUCUUUCUUAAACAUAUCACAAAAGAGUUUUGAUGAAGGUAAGAACUGGAACAGCAGUAAGUGGUUGACAGAGUUUAAGAAAAGAAAGAGCUAGAUUUAGAGAGAGAGAGAGAGAGAGAGAG
Drosophila arizonae is the source of this 514-nucleotide long non-coding RNA. The record is from RefSeq and is a predicted model, not a curated record. NCBI's taxonomy places the organism in Eukaryota, Metazoa, Arthropoda, Insecta, Diptera, Drosophilidae.